Molecule: ribosomal RNA, 601 nt
Filed under: uncultured archaeon
Lineage: Archaea
Description: bacterial SSU rRNA
Rfam family: Archaeal small subunit ribosomal RNA
Source: RNAcentral
CACGUGGAUAAUCUGCCCUCAGAUGAAGAAUAAUCCCGGGAAACUGGGGCUAAUGCUUCAUAGGAGACGGGUGCUGGAAUGCUCUGUCUCUGAAAGGUCCGCCGUCUGAGGAUGAGUCUGCGUCCGAUUAGGUUGUUGUUGGGGUAACGGCCCACCAAGCCUUUGAUCGGUACGGGUUGUGGGAGCAAGAGCCCGGAGAUGGAUUCUGAGACAUGAAUCCAGGCCCUACGGGGCGCAGCAGGCGCGAAAACUUUACAAUGCGAGCAAUCGUGAUAAGGAAACCCUGAGUGCCUGUUAUCGCAGGCUGUUCUGGUGUCUAACACACACCAGGAGAAAGGGCGGGGCAAGACCGGUGCCAGCCGCCGCGGUAAUACCGGCUGCUCGAGUGAUAGCCACUUUUACUGGGCUUAAAGCGUUCGUAGCUUGGUCGUUAAGUCUCUGGGGAAAUCUUUUGGCUCAACCAAAAGGCGUCUCAGGGAAACUGGCGACCUAGGAACCGGGAGAGGUAAGACGUACUUCGGGGGUAGGAGUGAAAUCUUGUAAUCCCCGAGGGACGACCGAUGGCGAAGGCAUCUUACCAGAACGGCUUCGACAGUGAGGG